RNAcentral lists this ribosomal RNA (117 nucleotides) under Neogale vison (American mink). Lineage: Eukaryota; Metazoa; Chordata; Mammalia; Carnivora; Mustelidae. The record is from RNAcentral.
GCCUAUGGCCAUACUACCCUGAACGCGCCCGAUCUCGUCUGAUCUCGGAAGCUAAGCAGGUCUGGUCUGGUCAGUACUUGGAUGAGAGAAAUCGGUUAUGAAAAGAAAUCCUAGUAC